Molecule: ribosomal RNA, 328 nt
Filed under: uncultured bacterium US12
Lineage: Bacteria
Description: bacterial SSU rRNA
Rfam family: Bacterial small subunit ribosomal RNA
Source: RNAcentral
GGCGGUAUGCCUAAUACAUGCAAGUCGAACGAUGAAAUUCUCUGCUNGCAGAGAAUGGAUUAGUGGCGAACGGGUGAGUAACACGUGGGUAACCUGCCCAUAAGAGGGGGAUAACAUUCGGAAACGGAUGCUAAUACCGCAUAUGUCUUUGAGACGCCUGUCUCUUAGAUGAAAGGUGGCUUCGGCUGCCGCUUAUGGAUGGACCCGCGGCGUAUUAGCUAGUUGGUAAGGUAAUGGCUUACCAAGGCUUUGAUACGUAGCCGACCUGAGAGGGUGAUCGGCCACACUGGGACUGAGACACGGCCCGGACUCCUACGGGAGGCAGCAG